AUGGCAUUACUCAGGCUGCCUCUGGUUCGCUUCUGUUCUUAUAACAUAGCUCUUCAGAGUUUUCUCAUGCUUUCUUUUUAAACUUUUAUUAAAAAAUAUUUAAGCCUGCAGGAAAAUUGCAAGAAUACUACAAUGAGCUCCCAUGUAGCCUCACCUAGAGGGUAAUAUUAUUUUUGUUAACAUUAUUUUGCCACAUCUUUUUCUCUCCACACACACAUGCACACACACACACACACACACACACACUAUACAUCAGCUGAAAUAUUUGAGAGUGCCAGACGUCAUGACCUUUCACUCCAAAAUAAUUCAGUGUACAUUUCCUCAGAAAAAGAACAUUUUCUUACAUGAAACAUGACACAACUAUUAAGUUCAGAAAAUUAAACGUUAGCAUGAAACUAUUUCACCUAUUGUCUCAAUAUUGUCCUUUAUAGCCUAUUUUUUUCUGAUCAAGUAUCCGAUGCAGAAUCAUGCUUGCAUUUAUUUGUCAUAUAUCUUUAAUCUCUUUUAAUCUGGAAUGUUCUCAUUCCUUCUUUGUAUAACAUAAGUGCCUGACAUUAAGCUUUUUGACUUUAGUGUAAGUGUCUGACAGUAAGCUUUUCGUUGCCAAGGCAUCCACUUCAAGCAGUAUGACACAGCUACUAGCAAAAUAACCAGAUAAAGAACCAGACUGCCUCCACCCAUGAAGUUCCCUUUUAAGGAAGCCCUAGGUAACCCGAUGACUGACAGGUUGAGUGACCCCACUUUUCCCUUCCCAUACCCUAAUUCCUGCUCUUAUGCUUUAAAUUCACUGAUAGAGAGUGAACCUGCCAAACUCUAGGCAUGCUACCCUCAGACCCAAAUAAAGGCAGAGCCUCAGGUCCAUGCUCCCUCCCUCUCUCUCUACCUGCUACCUUAUUUUGUGGCUCUCAGGCUUGCGGCGUCCCCUCCAGGACCUGUGAGUAAUAAAUCUUAUUCUUCUAAAAAUUCCCUGAUGGUUUUGGUGAGGUACAUAAGAAGCACAAGAGCCAGUC
This 1010-nucleotide long non-coding RNA is filed under the name Equus caballus (horse). Its description in RNAcentral is "lncRNA (ENSECAG00000047057.1)". The record is from RNAcentral. Lineage: Eukaryota; Metazoa; Chordata; Mammalia; Perissodactyla; Equidae.